This is an RNA transcript of Monodelphis domestica (gray short-tailed opossum), 1235 nucleotides long. RefSeq lists it as uncharacterized. The record is from RefSeq and is a predicted model, not a curated record. Lineage: Eukaryota; Metazoa; Chordata; Mammalia; Didelphimorphia; Didelphidae.
GAAGGCUGACACAGCAGCACUGUUCCUAGAGAGGGCAGGAAGCCCUUCAGGUGGGACCAAGGGACUCUUCCCCAGUGCCUAAAGGGUGGAGGCGUGCGUGUGUGUGGGGAGAGGCCCUGAGCAAGCAGAAAGCCAGACUCUCUCAUGCUUUCUGGUAGAGAAGCAAGGUGGACCAGGGCAAGAAGCAGAGGCUUGGAAGGUGGAGUCCAAACGAGGCUGUGUUUCCUGCGGUGUUCAGUCAGCCCUCAAACACCAGAGCUCAGCAGGCACUAACAGGGUGGCCCAAACCCUAAUGCUCUCCCCAAUGCUCUAAGCCACUGAGGCGGUGGAGGCUUGAGGCCACAUCCCAGUCGGGCCGGAUAGCCUGGACUUUGGUGCAGGAUUCAGCCAUGACCCCAGGCUGAUUGCAUCAGAACUCGCUGCCUCUGGCCAUGAAGUGAACUCUCCUUCUGUGAGGCAGCCACAUCUGAUGUACCCAACCCAUUCCUCCCACACAAUCCUGGAAGGGCACAAGAGGAAAGGCCUCAUCCUAGUGAGGAAGAUCUUCAGACUUCCGGAGCCGUCCUCCACGCGAAUCCAGGCAAGGCCGCUUGAAGCUACCUGGGGAAGUCUUUGCUGACCCUCCAUUCCUGGUUGGAGCUGUAGAAGGAAGAAGCUUGGGGUUGAGACCCUGUGAAUGAGGCCCCGCAGCCUGGAGACUCCCGAAUCCAGGUCCCAGUGGAAGAUGUACCCAUUUAUUUUAUUUUAUUAGCUAAUUUAGACUAUUUUCCCAUGGUUCCAUGACCCUCCUCCCAUAGCCAACGAGCACUUCCACUGGGUUUUACGCGUGUUGUUGACCAAGACCCAUUUCAUGUUAUUGAUAUUUGCACUAGCUGAUCGCUUCGAGUCUACACCUGGGAUUCAACCCGAUUCAAUUCAGUGCAGCUCAGUGUAGCUCAACUCAUUCAAUUACACAAUUGUGGUAAGUGGUUUUCCCAGUCGCCGAGAGCCUUUCCCGCCGCCCUGAAGCUGCCCCCUCCUCUGCCGGUAGCCUCCUUAAUUAGAAUGGGAGCUCCCUGAGAUCAGGGACUGUCGCCCUUCUAUUUCUAUCCAUUAGGGCAUUUAGGGCGCCCCUCCCCAGCCUUAAUAACUGCUGCGCUAUGGCAUCUGGCCCUUGCCCCGGGUCACACAGGAAAUAAGUGGGCAGAUGUAUCCUAGGAUCAAAGAGAUGCCCUAGUUGCUCUCUCUUCUCUCUG